CCUUGGGUGGUACAAAUGGUUAGUGUGCUCAGCUGAUAACUGAAAGUUUGGUGGUUCUAAUCCACCCAGAGGCA
Transfer RNA from Loxodonta africana (African savanna elephant), 74 nucleotides. It matches the Rfam family "tRNA". From Rfam's summary of the family: Transfer RNA (tRNA) molecules are approximately 80 nucleotides in length. The record is from Rfam. NCBI's taxonomy places the organism in Eukaryota, Metazoa, Chordata, Mammalia, Proboscidea, Elephantidae.